CUAUUUCCUCAUUUUGUUUUUUUUUUUGUAUGAGAAAUUAAAAUAAUUAGUGUCAAUUAUUGAGUGCGUACUCCAAAAUGUGUGUCAAUAAUGAGCUUAUCAAUCUAUUUGAACUUAAAUGACACCCUAUGUUAUGUUAUGUUAUAUUAUAUUCAUAUUGCAAAUCUGGAUUUUCUAAUAAUUAAUCAGACAAUGAAGGCAGUAUACAAAAUUCUAAGAAAAAAAUAUUACAUUUGAUCAGUAUCAAUAUUUAUGUAUUCACGUAUGCACAUAUCUAUAAAACCUGCACAGCACAUUAUUAUCAUAUUUAACGCAUAUUUUAAACAAGUCAGCAACAAAUUAAAUUAAGUACACUAUACUAUGUCAAUUGAACAAAAAAAAAGUAUAAAAUGAAACAUUACUUAAGAGUAUAGUAUAGAAUCUUAAAGAAUCUCGAACUAUUCCAAAAUGAAAUUGCUUUAUUUAUUUGCAAUAAUCUUUGUUUUCGCUAAUAUCGCAGCAGUUGUCAAGGCUGACUGUUGUAAUUAUGUCUACUCCCAUGGAGAAUACCUUUGCCGCGAUGGACCUCUAACCGAAGGAAGUUGUUGUGGGCGUGGCAAAUGUAACAUAUUCUGCUGUGAUUGUGCUGGCGGUUGCAGAUAGAAGGAAUUUAUUUAAAGUGAAAUUAGUCAAUUUUAUAUGGAAAACCAAUAGUAUUUUGAUUUAAACUCAAACAUUCAUAAAAAGGGAUUCAAAAACUGGAAUAAUACAAAACAUGUUUUUUACGAGGAAGAAAUUUUAAAAUUUGGAAUAAUUUUUAAAACAUUAAAUCAUUGAAAUAAAAAUUAUUGAAAAUAUAAAAA
Eupeodes corollae is the source of this 842-nucleotide long non-coding RNA. RefSeq lists it as uncharacterized. NCBI's taxonomy places the organism in Eukaryota, Metazoa, Arthropoda, Insecta, Diptera, Syrphidae. The record is from RefSeq and is a predicted model, not a curated record. The transcript has 2 exons.